GACGGACGCUGGCGGCGUGCCUAAUACAUGCAAGUAGAACGCUGAAGGAGGAGCUUGCUUCUCUGGAUGAAUUGCGAACGGGUGAGUAACGCGUAGGUAACCUGCCUGGUAGCGGGGGAUAACUAUUGGAAACGAUAGCUAAUACCGCAUAAGAGUAGAUGUUGCAUGACAUUUACUUAAAAGGUGCAAUUGCAUCACUACUAGAUGGACCUGCGUUGUAUUAGCUAGUUGGUGGGGUAACGGCUCACCAAGGCGACGAUACAUAGCCGACCUGAGAGGGUGAUCGGCCACACUGGGACUGAGACACGGCCCAGACUCCUACGGGAGGCAGCAGUAGGGAAUCUUCGGCAAUGGACGGAAGUCUGACCGAGCAACGCCGCGUGAGUGAAGAAGGUUUUCGGAUCGUAAAGCUCUGUUGUAAGAGAAGAACGAGUGUGAGAGUGGAAAGUUCACACCGUGGCGGUAUCUUACCAGAAAGGGACGGCUAACUACGUG
This 495-nucleotide ribosomal RNA is filed under the name uncultured Streptococcus sp. RNAcentral describes it as "bacterial SSU rRNA". It matches the Rfam family "Bacterial small subunit ribosomal RNA", at positions 28 to 507 of the family's 1533-position model. Lineage: Bacteria; Bacillati; Bacillota; Bacilli; Lactobacillales; Streptococcaceae. The record is from RNAcentral.